Molecule: ribosomal RNA, 254 nt
Filed under: uncultured bacterium
Lineage: Bacteria
Description: partial 16S ribosomal RNA
Rfam family: Bacterial small subunit ribosomal RNA
Source: RNAcentral
UACGAAGGGGGGCUAGCGUUGCUCGGAAUCACUGGGCGUAAAGGGUGCGUAGGCGGGUCUUUAAGUCAGAGGUGAAAUCCCAAGGCUCAACCUUGGAACUGCCUUUGAUACUGGGGAUCUCGAGUCCGGAAGAGGUGAGUGGAACUGCGAGUGUAGAGGUGAAAUUCGUAGAUAUUCGCAAGAACACCAGUGGCGAAGGCGGCUCACUGGUCCGGUACUGACGCUGAGGUGCGAAAGCGUGGGGAGCAAACAGG